UACGGAGGGUGCGAGCGUUGUCCGGAAUCACUGGGCGUAAAGGGCGCGUAGGUGGCCCGUUAAGUGGCUGGUGAAAUCCCGCGGCUCAACUGCGGGGCUGCCGGUCAUACUGGCGAGCUAGAGCACGGUAGGGGCAGAUGGAAUUCCCGGUGUAGCGGAGGAAUGCGUAGAGAUCGGGAAGAACACCGGUGGCGAAGGCGGCCUGCUGGGCAGUAGCUGACGCUGAUGCGCGACAGCGUGGGGGGCAAACAGG
Molecule: ribosomal RNA, 253 nt
Filed under: uncultured bacterium
Lineage: Bacteria
Description: partial 16S ribosomal RNA
Rfam family: Bacterial small subunit ribosomal RNA
Source: RNAcentral